This 255-nucleotide ribosomal RNA is filed under the name uncultured bacterium. Its description in RNAcentral is "partial 16S ribosomal RNA". It matches the Rfam family "Bacterial small subunit ribosomal RNA", at positions 524 to 777 of the family's 1533-position model. The record is from RNAcentral.
CACGUAGGCACCAAGCGUUGUCCGGAUUUAUUGGGCGUAAAGAGCUCGUAGGCGGUUCAGUAAGUCGGGUGUGAAAACUUUGGGCUUAACCCAAAGCGUGCAUCCGAUACUGCUGUGACUUGAGUUCGGUAGGGGAGUGGGGAAUUCCUAGUGUAGCGGUGAAAUGCGCAGAUAUUAGGAGGAACACCGAUGGCGAAGGCAGGUCUCUGGGCCACUACUGACGCUGAGAAGCGAAAGCAUGGGGAGCGAAGAGGA